CUUCUUUCGCCGGUGUAUAGAGGAACGUGGGCGUGAAGGUGCUUUUGAACCGCGGCUACUGACAUAACAGUGGGUAAGGGGCCAGCCAUGAUAGAGUGUUAUCAGCAUCGUCGAAGGCGGUGGAAACAUAAUACACUGAUCGAAGUGGAUAUGGUUACAGUUCGAAGGGGGCGAAGACCUAGACGGCUUUCACAAACAGAAGGACGUUAACCCGAUAACCGGCUGAUUUUUCGACCACGAAUAUUCAUGCGGAUACAAAUGUAGGGGAGCGAUAUGAAUCUGGAACGAUAUAUCCCACGAUGAAUGUAAUUACGAUUUAAUUUACAUUCCUACUGACAUUAUGAUGGAAUUCAACGCA
Long non-coding RNA from Nomia melanderi (Alkali bee), 358 nucleotides. RefSeq lists it as uncharacterized. Lineage: Eukaryota; Metazoa; Arthropoda; Insecta; Hymenoptera; Halictidae. The record is from RefSeq and is a predicted model, not a curated record.